AAAACUUUGAGUAUACAUGGAAUCAGGUUGCAAAUCAUGGUGCUGGUAGUCCACAUGCUCCCUCCAUCCAGGACACAGAGCUGAGUCGCUGAUUCUUUCCGGGCACAGGCCCCAGUGCUGAUGACAGGGGCCCAGAGAAGAGGAAACUGUGGUCCUGGCCCAAGAAGGGCUCCCAGGGAAGGUGGGCCAAGGGAGAUGGACAAAGAGAUGGUUUGAGUUUGCUUUGGUGUGCAUCACCCCAUUCUGAACACAUCGGGAAGGAAGCAGGAGAGAGCCAGAAGCUGCCUGCCAUUCCUGGUGAGUCAGUUGGCCAACAUGGAACAUUCGUUUCAUCAUAUUCUCCUGCUGGAGAUCAAGAGCAUCACCGAUACUUUCUCCUCCAUCCUGGGCCCUCAAAGCCGAGAUAUCUUCCGCAUGAGCAACAGCUUCACCACUGUUGCCAGGCUCCUAACCCAACAACUGGAAACUGCCCAGGCCAGGAGCAGCAGUCCAGUAGACGGCAAAUGUUAGUGUGGACGGGAUCUCGGUGCUCCCAGUACUGCAUGGACGAUACAAAGGAAGCUUGCAGGGAUCCCUGGGUGGUGCAGCGGUUUGGCGCCUGCCUUUGGCCCAGGGCGCGAUCCUGGAGACCCGGGAUCGAAUCCCACGUCAGGCUCCCGGUGCAUGGAGCCUGCUUCUCCCUCUGCCUGUGUCUCUGCCUCUCUCUCUCUCUCUCUCUCUCUGUGACUAUCAUAAAAAAAAAAAAAAACAAACAAAAACAAAGGAAGCUUGCAGAAAUGUCAAGGGUCCCUUCGCCUUCUCCUCCCCAAAGC
RNAcentral lists this long non-coding RNA (812 nucleotides) under Vulpes vulpes (red fox). Its description in RNAcentral is "lncRNA (ENSVVUG00000020031.1)". Lineage: Eukaryota; Metazoa; Chordata; Mammalia; Carnivora; Canidae. The record is from RNAcentral.